This 433-nucleotide ribosomal RNA is filed under the name uncultured bacterium. RNAcentral describes it as "partial 16S ribosomal RNA". It matches the Rfam family "Bacterial small subunit ribosomal RNA", at positions 29 to 507 of the family's 1533-position model. The record is from RNAcentral.
AACGAACGCUGGCGGCAUGCCUAACACAUGCAAGUCGAACGAGACCUUCGGGUCUAGUGGCGCACGGGUGCGUAACGCGUGGGAACCUGCCCUUAGGUUCGGAAUAACUCCCCGAAAGGGGUGCUAAUACCGGAUAAUGUCUUCGGACCAAAGAUUUAUCGCCUUUGGAUGGGCCCGCGUUGGAUUAGCUAGUUGGUAGGGUAAAAGCCUAUCAAGGCGACGAUCCAUAGCUGGUCUGAGAGGAUGAUCAGCCACACUGGGACUGAGACACGGCCCAGACUCCUACGGGAGGCAGCAGUGGGGAAUAUUGGACAAUGGGCGAAAGCCUGAUCCAGCUAUGCCGCGUGAGUGAUGAAGGCCUUAGGGUUGUAAAGCUCUUUUACCCGGGAUGAUAAUGACAGUACCGGGAGAAUAAGCUCCGGCUAACUCCGUG